UGCUCAAAUAAUUGACAAGUAACUUGUGCUUCAGAUGAAGUGAAAUAGGAGAUAUCUUUGGAGGCAGGAUGUGUCUUAUGGCAUCUUUUCAUCAAGUCUACAAACAGAAGAUUCCAAAUACUGAAUAUAAGAAUCAUGAGUUUGGAAGCUCCAUGACACUGAGUACAGAAAGAAUGGUGUUUCAACUGGGAAAAUGGGAUGGCCUUCAAUA
RNAcentral lists this long non-coding RNA (211 nucleotides) under Mustela putorius furo (domestic ferret). RNAcentral's name for it is "lncRNA (ENSMPUG00000029113.1)". Lineage: Eukaryota; Metazoa; Chordata; Mammalia; Carnivora; Mustelidae. The record is from RNAcentral.